UACCACCGCAAUCAACCAUGGCACUUUCUGGCUGUGUUUGAUUUUUCUACCCGGAUUAAUGGUGAGGUUACUCAUCCCAAUAUCAAGAGGUGCGGGGUUCAGCUGAUGUACACCCGUGAUUCUCUAAACAGCAGUGUGCCUAUGUUGUUGGAUCAUCAAAGAGGCCAUGAUGAUGCCGGGAAAAACCAAGCAGAAGAUCAGGAACCAUGCCGUAAAAGAUUGAGAGCAUCCAGCACUGAUCUCAAGCUUUAAGCUCCAUUGUCAGGUGCGCUUGCUAGCUAAGUCCUUAUAUUCCACCAUCUCUCUAUUUUAUUUGUUCAUUCAAGCCCUCAUGGAAACUUACUGGUUACAACAACUGAAGAAUCAAUGUUGACUUAGCACCACCAUGGCUGGACUCUGGAGCACCCUGCUGCCCUUCUAACCACCAUGAGAACCACUGCACUGCCAUUCUUGAAGCCAGACUGGCCACCAUUUAGUAGAGUGAUCCCCACCUUGAUGUUGAUUCCAUGCACUUAUUUUUUAACAGGGUUUACUAAUUCUUCAGCAUGAUGUAUUCGUAACUAGCAUCCUUUGAUGUAGAAUGAGACAUGACAACUCCAUACAUGUCUAAGCAAGGAAAACUGAAAGGUCAUGUAAUAUCCAAAAUUUGUCAUACCUUGCCUCAAAGCUCCUCCCUUCCGAA
Vitis riparia (riverbank grape) is the source of this 682-nucleotide long non-coding RNA. RefSeq lists it as uncharacterized. The record is from RefSeq and is a predicted model, not a curated record. Lineage: Eukaryota; Viridiplantae; Streptophyta; Magnoliopsida; Vitales; Vitaceae. The transcript has 2 exons.